This 242-nucleotide long non-coding RNA is filed under the name Homo sapiens (human). Its description in RNAcentral is "non-protein coding lnc-DAZAP2-6:1". Lineage: Eukaryota; Metazoa; Chordata; Mammalia; Primates; Hominidae. The record is from RNAcentral.
UCCCAGGUAGCUGGGACUACAAGCAUGUGCUACCACACCUGGCUAAUUUUUGUAUUUUUUUGUAGAGACGGGAUCUUGCUAUGUUGCCCAGGCUGGUCUUGAAUUCCUAGGCUCAAUUGAUUCUCCUGCUUUGGCCUCUCAAAGUGCUAGUAUUACAGCCAUAAGCCACCAUGCCUGGCCAAGUAAAUGUUGUAUAGAAAAAUAUUUUGAGGUGUGAUAAUGGUAUUGUAGUUACAUUUUAA